RNAcentral lists this ribosomal RNA (497 nucleotides) under uncultured bacterium. Its description in RNAcentral is "partial 16S ribosomal RNA". It matches the Rfam family "Bacterial small subunit ribosomal RNA", at positions 28 to 507 of the family's 1533-position model. The record is from RNAcentral.
GAUGAACGCUGGCGGCGUGCCUAAUACAUGCAAGUCGAGCGAACGGACGAGAAGCUUGCUUCUCUGAUGUUAGCGGCGGACGGGUGAGUAACACGUGGAUAACCUACCUAUAAGACUGGGAUAACUUCGGGAAACCGGAGCUAAUACCGGAUAAUAUUUUGAACCGCAUGGUUCAAAAGUGAAAGACGGUCUUGCUGUCACUUAUAGAUGGAUCCGCGCUGCAUUAGCUAGUUGGUAAGGUAACGGCUUACCAAGGCAACGAUGCAUAGCCGACCUGAGAGGGUGGUCGGCCACACUGGAACUGAGACACGGUCCAGACUCCUGCGGGAGGGAGCAGUAGGGAAUCGUCCGCAAUGGGCGAAAGCCUGACGGAGCAACGCCGCGUGAGUGAUGAAGGUCUUCGGAUCGUAAAACUCUGUUAUUAGUGAAGAACAUAUGUGUAAGUAACUGUGCACAUCUUGACGGUACCUAAUCAGAAAGCCACGGCUAACUACGUG